GGCCCGUUGGUCAAGUGGUUAAGACACCGCCCUUUCACGGCGGUAACACGGGUUCGAAUCCCGUACGGGU
RNAcentral lists this transfer RNA (70 nucleotides) under Parageobacillus toebii. RNAcentral's name for it is "tRNA-Glu". It matches the Rfam family "tRNA". Rfam says of the family: Transfer RNA (tRNA) molecules are approximately 80 nucleotides in length. The record is from RNAcentral. Lineage: Bacteria; Bacillati; Bacillota; Bacilli; Caryophanales; Anoxybacillaceae.